GGUCUGCCGGCUGGGUCGUGUGAGUGCAGCGUGAUAGUCGAAUCAUCUUGAGUGGUGUGCCGUAGAGGGUGUGAGUCCCGUAGACGAAAUCAUUGCUGCCGCGCGUGGUGUUUCCCGAGUAGCACGGAGCCCGUGAAACUUCGUGUGAAUCUGCCAGGACCACCUGGUAAGCCUGAAUACUACCUGAUGACCGAUAGCGGACCAGUACCGUGAGGGAAAGGUGAAAAGCA
Molecule: ribosomal RNA, 230 nt
Filed under: Staphylococcus aureus
Lineage: Bacteria; Bacillati; Bacillota; Bacilli; Caryophanales; Staphylococcaceae
Description: partial 23S ribosomal RNA
Rfam family: Bacterial large subunit ribosomal RNA
Source: RNAcentral